RNAcentral lists this ribosomal RNA (800 nucleotides) under uncultured bacterium. Its description in RNAcentral is "bacterial SSU rRNA". It matches the Rfam family "Bacterial small subunit ribosomal RNA", at positions 34 to 794 of the family's 1533-position model. The record is from RNAcentral.
GGCAGGGGCGGCGUGCUAUACAUGCAAGUCGAGCGAGCUUGCCUAGAUGAUUUUAGUGCUUGCACUAAAUGAAACUAGAUACAAGCGAGCGGCGGACGGGUGAGUAACACGUGGGUAACCUGCCCAAGAGACUGGGAUAACACCUGGAAACAGAUGCUAAUACCGGAUAACAACACUAGACGCAUGUCUAGAGUUUGAAAGAUGGUUCUGCUAUCACUCUUGGAUGGACCUGCGGUGCAUUAGCUAGUUGGUAAGGUAACGGCUUACCAAGGCAAUGAUGCAUAGCCGAGUUGAGAGACUGAUCGGCCACAUUGGGACUGAGACACGGCCCAAACUCCUACGGGAGGCAGCAGUAGGGAAUCUUCCACAAUGGACGAAAGUCUGAUGGAGCAACGCCGCGUGAGUGAAGAAGGGUUUCGGCUCGUAAAGCUCUGUUGGUAGUGAAGAAAGAUAGAGGUAGUAACUGGCCUUUAUUUGACGGUAAUUACUUAGAAAGUCACGGCUAACUACGUGCCAGCAGCCGCGGUAAUACGUAGGUGGCAAGCGUUGUCCGGAUUUAUUGGGCGUAAAGCGAGUGCAGGCGGUUCAAUAAGUCUGAUGUGAAAGCCUUCGGCUCAACCGGAGAAUUGCAUCAGAAACUGUUGAACUUGAGUGCAGAAGAGGAGAGUGGAACUCCAUGUGUAGCGGUGGAAUGCGUAGAUAUAUGGAAGAACACCAGUGGCGAAGGCGGCUCUCUGGUCUGCAACUGACGCUGAGGCUCGAAAGUAUGGGUAGCGAACAGGAUUAGAUACCCUGGUAGU